This 545-nucleotide ribosomal RNA is filed under the name uncultured Glomeromycotina. RNAcentral's name for it is "SSU rRNA". It matches the Rfam family "Eukaryotic small subunit ribosomal RNA", at positions 548 to 1098 of the family's 1831-position model. Lineage: Eukaryota; Fungi; Glomeromycota. The record is from RNAcentral.
UUGGAGGGCAAGUCUGGUGCCAGCAGCCGCGGUAAUUCCAGCUCCAAUAGCGUAUAUUAAAGUUGUUGCAGUUAAAAAGCUCGUAGUUGAAUUUCGGGGUUCUACCGUUGGUCGGGCUUUGUCUGUACUGGUGUGUAGAAUUUCUACCUUCUGGGGAACCAUCAUGCUAUUAAUUUAGCGUGGUGGGAAACCAGGACCUUUACCUUGAAAAAAUUAGUGUGUUCAAAGCAGGCUUAUGUCUGAAUACAUUAGCGUGGAAUAAUAGAAUAGGACGGUGGUCCUGUUUUGUUGGUUUCUGAAUCACCGUAAUGAUUAAUAGGGAUAGUUGGGGGCAUUAGUAUUCAAUUGUCAGAGGUGAAAUUCUUGGAUUUAUUGAAGACUAACUACUGCGAAAGCAUUUGCCAAGGAUGUUUUCAUUAAUCAAGAACGAAAGUUAGGGGAUCGAAGACGAUCAGAUACCGUCGUAGUCUUAACCAUAAACUAUGCCGACUAGGGAUCGGAUGAUGUUAAUUUUUUAAUGACUCAUUCGGCGCCUUACGGGAAAC